GUCAAGAGUCAGAUGCUUAACCGACUCAUGAACUGAGCCACCCAGGUAAGAUCUGUUAACCUUAUCCACAUUCCCCGAUACACUGAAAAGCCGAGAAGCGGGUGCUCGUAUGGUUUCCUGACUACUAGCUGGGAGCUUAACGUACCACACUUCCACUCAAUUCAAUUCAAUAAAUAGUUAUUGGACUCCUGUUAUGUGCAAAAUAUUAUGCUGGUCUUACAGAAAAUGCUGGAUGACUAAGAGUUCCUGCCCUUGGAGAGGAAGCUGUAGGACAAAUUUACAGAGAACUAUAGGAGAAGGCAACAUCCAGUUAGUGACCUAGGAAGGAUAGGCCAUACAGUGGAGUGGGUGAGCACCAGGGCUCUCAAGGUCGGGUUCAUCUCUCCUACACUCUGGAUGUGACCUAGGACAAGUCACUUAACUGAUCUGUGCCUGAUUCCUCAUCUGUCAGAUGAACAGUAGCCCCUGCUUCAUAGGAGAGGUAGUAAGAUCAGGGAGUUUACUUAAGCUAAGAAGAAGUUAAAAUUAGCUGUCAACUGCUGUCCCACAGUGAGCUAACACAGCCUCGAGGCCUGACUGACCACAGUCAUCUCUGGGGGUGUACGUUUGUCUGAGAAACACAUCACAGAGGUAACAGUGAUUCUCCCUCCGCAGUCAUCAUUCAGUUCUUUGUACACAUGUCUCAAGAGGAAAAUCCCUAUCAAGGGCUGUGUAGGGGCUUACAUUUACUUUGGAAUUAUUCCAUUUAUUUUUACUUUUAUGGACCAUUCAAAUUGUAAUCAUCGGUCAGUCAGCUACAUGACUCGGUAACCAAUGAAAUUUGACAAUCUUAGUGGCCUUCCAUUAGAAAGAAUUGCAUAACAGUCCAUGAAAUUACAAUUUUGAAUUGAAUUCUUGAAACAGGCCUAGAAGCCACAGAAUCAAAGCAAAUGGCAAGUGUGAGUUUAGAAGAGGCAGACCUGUGAAGCCAUGUUCCCAAGGUCUGGAAGCAAGGAUUUUACAGCGAAUUCACAGGCUUGACAAGGCUUCAGGACAGGGAACUGAAGCAGCCCCCAUUUCCAGCUUUGAUCUGUGUUCUGUUCAAACAAAACACCUUGCUUCCUGAAUGCUGCUUUGGCUUAAUUUCAGCAGAGUAGCAAUUCUUAAUCCAAAACAAUCAAGAAGAAUUUCUACAGUGGUCAAACAGCAUUUUUCUGAGUGCUUGGAAAUCAUGAACGUCCACUGUUGAAAAAUAUUCUCUAGCAAACAAGGCAGAGAACAUGAAUCAAAGUGCCAGACAAUGCCAGGGUCAGCCUCAGUGGCCCUGAAACCAACUAAGACUCCAGUGAAGUACGUGUCUUGAUUCCCUCAGCUGUGAAAUAGGUACAUCAUGCAGCUUCACGCAAAAAUUGAAAAUUGUGCUCUAAUGGGUAUGUGUAUGUACGUGUGUGUAUGUACACGAUUCAUCCACAUGCCAUGCCAGUCUCGCCCGAAUGAAGCAAAUAAAACUUUGGUUAAUUCUCA
Leopardus geoffroyi (Geoffroy's cat) is the source of this 1503-nucleotide long non-coding RNA. RefSeq lists it as uncharacterized. The record is from RefSeq and is a predicted model, not a curated record. NCBI's taxonomy places the organism in Eukaryota, Metazoa, Chordata, Mammalia, Carnivora, Felidae. The transcript is spliced from 5 exons.